CAAGUCGAACGAACCUUUCGGGGUUAGUGGCGGACGGGUGAGUAACGCGUGAGAAUCUGCCCUCAGGAGGGGGAUAACGACUGGAAACGGUCGCUAAUACCCCAUAUGCCGAGAGGUGAAAUGAAUUUCGCCUGAGGAUGAGCUCGCGUCUGAUUAGCUAGUUGGUGGGGUAAAGGCCUACCAAGGCGACGAUCAGUAGCUGGUCUGAGAGGAUGAUCAGCCACACUGGGACUGAGACACGGCCCAGACUCCUACGGGAGGCAGCAGUGGGGAAUUUUCCGCAAUGGGCGAAAGCCUGACGGAGCAACGCCGCGUGAGGGAUGAAGGCCUCUGGGCUGUAAACCUCUUUUCUCAAGGAAGAAGAUCUGACGGUACUUGAGGAAUAAGCCACGGCUAAUUCCGUGCCAGCAGCCGCGGUAAUACGGGAGUGGCAAGCGUUAUCCGGAAUUAUUGGGCGUAAAGCGUCCGCAGGCGGCCUUGUAAGUCUGUCGUUAAAGCGUGGAGCUUAACUCCAUUUCAGCGGUGGAAACUACAAGGCUUGAGUGUGGUAGGGGCAGAGGGAAUUCCCGGUGUAGCGGUGAAAUGCGUAGAUAUCGGGAAGAACACCAGUGGCGAAGGCGCUCUGCUGGGUCAUAACUGACGCUCAUGGACGAAAGCCAGGGGAGCGAAAGGGAUUAGAUACCCCUGUAGUCCUGGCCGUAAACGAUGAACACUAGGCGUCGGGGGAAUCGACCCCCUCGGUGUCGUAGCCAACGCGUUAAGUGUUCCGCCUGGGGAGUACGCACGCAAGUGUGAAACUCAAAGGAAUUGACGG
RNAcentral lists this ribosomal RNA (814 nucleotides) under uncultured bacterium. RNAcentral's name for it is "bacterial SSU rRNA". It matches the Rfam family "Bacterial small subunit ribosomal RNA", at positions 58 to 916 of the family's 1533-position model. The record is from RNAcentral.